Molecule: long non-coding RNA, 1421 nt
Filed under: Bos mutus (wild yak)
Lineage: Eukaryota; Metazoa; Chordata; Mammalia; Artiodactyla; Bovidae
Description: lncRNA (ENSBMUG00000005350.1)
Source: RNAcentral
UUAAUGCAGCACUAAACUUUUUAUGACUUUUCUGUUGUAUUUCUCUUUCAGGGUUUUCUGGAGGAGUACAGAACCUGAGCAGAAAGAGGCCAGAGUCAGAGCAACUCUACCUGCUGGAUGACAUCAGGUGUCCAGAGUAGGGCAAACAAGAGCCUGACAUGCCACAAGGCUGCCGGACCCUCCAGGAUCUGUGAUGGCCAUGCUUCUCUUCGAGCCAUGGAGAAAGGCUUAAAUCCUAUAUCCUCAAAACGCCAACAACCAAGGCUGAGUCCAUCCGUCCGUCCGUCCGUCAGUCCGUCUGUUCCGGGCGGCGGGCUUCAGGAGGCGUCCCUGGAUAUCCACCCACUUUCGGUAAGGAAGUUCAGGAUUCACUUCCUGAGGACUUUAUCCAGGCAGCUGGGCAGGCGGCUCUUGGAGGGGAUGCCCUGGCGCUUCUGCAGGUGGUCCUUGAUGAUUAUGGUCUUCACAGUCACGUAGCGCGCGGGGCUCAGGUUCAGCGAGUUGCACAUCACCUUCUCGCGGUCGACAAGCGCUCGAAGCCCGGAAGGUGCUCGAUGGCCACGAACUCGCCAUCCCGGCCGUCCUCCUUGCCGCGCUUGGCGCCCCCCGCCGCCGCCGCCUUGUUCUCCUUGCACUUCUCGUGCUUGUGCCGGGCCGCCUCGUACUCGGCCGACUCCUCCAUCUUUGUGAUGCCGUUGCGCUGGUAGCACUGCAGCUUCUCCUUGUGCAUUUUCUCGAAUAGGUCGUCGAACUCCUUGCACGACAUGAACUGGUACACUGGCCGCAGCUUCAGGCGCAGCUCCUUCUCCUUGGUGACCUUGCAUAGCGCCGCCCGCUCCUUCUCCUUGUCCUUGCCCAGGAAGGCGGGCACCAGGUUGUAGUCGCGCGCGAUGUUCUUGCUCCACUGCCGCUCGCGGACCUUGAGCACGUACAUGUGCACGUGCGCGCGCUUCAGCUCGAUCUCCACGUCUCAUCGUCGUAGUUGACCGGGAGCCCGGUGAUGAGCGUCUCGGCGUUCUGGUCGUACUGGAUCUAGUAGUCGUCCCGCAGAGGCAUGUAGCCCAGCUGCUACUGCUCAGCCACCGAGAUGUGUAAUGCUCCAUCACUUCCUGGGGGGUCCGGGAAGCGCCGACGUGAGUUGCCAUGUCCUCCCAGUUCCCAUAGCCGAACUGCUCGAUGGCAUCCAGCAGCAGCUGCUCCUCGCGGCUGCUUCAGCCGCCCUCGGCCUCGGGCCCCCAGAGCGUGAAGCGCCCGCCGUGCACCAGCUGGUAUCCGUGGUAGCGGCGGCGGUGGUGGCGGCGCCGCGGAGAAGCACUCGGGGCACGGCUCGAUGUCUUGGCACUUGGUGCAGCGGAAGCGCAGCGGGCUCACCUCGGCCAGGCAGUACACGCAGUACUUCUUGCCGAGCUCCUCCACCUUCC